RNAcentral lists this ribosomal RNA (489 nucleotides) under Neisseria flava. RNAcentral describes it as "bacterial SSU rRNA". It matches the Rfam family "Bacterial small subunit ribosomal RNA", at positions 30 to 503 of the family's 1533-position model. The record is from RNAcentral. Lineage: Bacteria; Pseudomonadati; Pseudomonadota; Betaproteobacteria; Neisseriales; Neisseriaceae.
AUUGAACGCUGGCGGCAUGCUUUACACAUGCAAGUCGGACGGCAGCACAGAGAAGCUUGCUUCUUGGGUGGCGAGUGGCGAACGGGUGAGUAACAUAUCGGAACGUACCGAGCAGUGGGGGAUAACUAAUCGAAAGAUUAGCUAAUACCGCAUAUUUUCUGAGGAAGAAAGCAGGGGACCAUUUGGCCUUGCGCUGUUUGAGCGGCCGAUAUCUGAUUAGCUAGUUGGUGGGGUAAAGGCCUACCAAGGCGACGAUCAGUAGCGGGUCUGAGAGGAUGAUCCGCCACACUGGGACUGAGACACGGCCCAGACUCCUACGGGAGGCAGCAGUGGGGAAUUUUGGACAAUGGGCGCAAGCCCUGAUCCAGCCAUGCCGCGUGUCUGAAGAAGGCCUUCGGGUUGUAAAGGACUUUUGUCAGGGAAGAAAAGGGCGGGGUUAAUACCCCUGUCUGAUAGACGGUACCCUGAAGAAUAAGCACCGGCUGACUA